This 325-nucleotide ribosomal RNA is filed under the name uncultured eukaryote. RNAcentral describes it as "partial 18S ribosomal RNA". It matches the Rfam family "Eukaryotic small subunit ribosomal RNA", at positions 1470 to 1796 of the family's 1831-position model. The record is from RNAcentral.
CCCUUCGAUGUUCGGAGCUGCACGCGCGCUACACUGUGGGUGGCAGCAUGUUAGCUUGCCUCGCUCGCAAGAGUGGGGUAAUCGUUUGAAAAUCCCACGUGAUUGGGAUAGGGACUUGUAAUUAUUUCCCUUGAACGAGGAAUCCCUAGUAAGUGCAGGUCAUCAGCUUGCGCUGAUUACGUCCCUGCCCUUUGUACACACCGCCCGUCGCUCCUACCGAUUGGGUGAUCCGGUGAAUGGUUCGGACUCUGGCUAUGCUAGCUACUAGCUACGUCAGGGAAAGUUCUGUGAACCUUAUCACUUGGAGGAAGGAGAAGUCGUAACA